GUGUUAAGACAAUGCUACAAUCUUCAACUCAAAUCAGCAGAUAGACAGUUGAAACUUGGAAAUAUUUGAGUGUGGACAAUGAUCCCAAAAACACAUAGAAGCUGAUUUUCAAACGGAUAAAGCAGUGGGAAAAGUUUGAUCCUUUUUAUACCCACCUAGCAAUGCACUAUGUCAGAUAUCUGCCAUUUCUGCAAGACUUUGUGGAAAACUCUUUUCUUGAAUUUUCCCUUAUUGCUCAUUUUAAAAGUUUGUUGAAAAAAGAUCUCUCCUGCUUCAGGAUUAAGUCCACAAGUUUGAGGUGCACUACUCUUAAAGCUCCUCGGUGGGCUAGGAUGGGUUUUCAUUCUAUUCAUCAUUUCACGGAUUUGGUUGUACUUUCACAUCUUAACAUUUGCUCAAAAUAAAAGCUUUACUGAUUGAAAAUAUGCCUAUUUUAUUUAUUUAAUUUUUAUUUAUUUAUUUUAUUUAUUUAAUUUUUAUUUAUUUAUUUUAUUUAUUUAAUUUUUAUUUAUUUAUUUUAUUUAUCUAUUUUUUCCGCCUGUCCUGUUUGGUUCUUUUGCCAUCAGAAUUAUUGUCUAAAGGCAAAGAAAGAUGCCGAACGGAUUUACUUUACCAAAUGGACCAUCCCAGCCUUGCCGUAAUGGUCUAUUUGAUUCACCUUUGCGUUUAUUGUUUAUUUUAUUUUCACUUACUACACACGGGACAGACUUGACUGGGGGAAAGAAAAACUGCGGGGAAGAGGGACGGUGACAAAGGGCAAAAAAAGAAAAACCAACAAAACAAACAGACAAAAAAUGCAUAUAUCAAUCGCCUGGAUCAUAUAUGAUCAAAUAUGCCUAUUUUAAAAGAAAACUACUGUGAAAAUGUGCUUUUAGGCCUGUUUAAAGGUUAUACUGUAAAUUCUCCUCAAACCUAAACCACGGAAAACAUUUUCCCAGACAGGGAUUCAAGGUCAGUCAGAUAAAGAGGCGCAGACAAAGGCAUUUUGUUUUUGACAGCUGUGUGUGUUCAGCUUAAUGCCAGACUACAGAUUUAGUGAUCACAGGUAGAUUUAUUCCUAAUUUUGAAAGGAUUUCCAAUUUCCUUCCUAUCAUUUCAAAAUGUAUUACUGCUUUUGUGUGUGUGUG
Astatotilapia calliptera (eastern happy) is the source of this 1127-nucleotide long non-coding RNA. The record is from Ensembl. NCBI's taxonomy places the organism in Eukaryota, Metazoa, Chordata, Actinopteri, Cichliformes, Cichlidae.